UUUUCUUAAUUAACUAAGAUUAGGUUCAUAUUCAAGCAUAGUUUUGGCUUUCAUUCAAAAGCCAAUUUCUCUAUAAGUGCAUGGUGACAAUUUUAGCAACGAAAAUUAUGCUAUAAAGGAGACUAGAAAGUGGUCAAGUCAAAGGCAAGUACAGUACUCUAUAGUUUGCAUGGGAUAAGUUACAGAAAAAAAGAGUACAAUCCACAUAGGUUCCAAGUCAGGAUCCAAAUGACGACUGAGCUAUAGAACAACAUAUACCGGCUCUCAAAAGGGCUAGUCAAACACAAAUGCUAGGAUAGGAGAGCUGCUACCCCUUGAACCAUCGGUUUCCUCCCCUUGUCCUCAACCACCAAAAAUCAAAGAAACACACACACAGGGACUGAUGACAGAUGUAACUGACACGAACCAGCAUGAGGAAAAUGUGAGAAGUAUAUAGAAGAGAAAAAUAUGGUAGUUUUUUCCUGAAAUAACAUCUAAAAUUGGGGAAAAUGUAGCCACGUUCCCCUUUAUUUGGGUAUACCAGCACUUGGGUGGCAAUUCCACUUUUCUUGCCAAACAGGGUUUCACACUUGUAAUUUUCUAGCAACCAUCCAUAUCCUUUAUGAUUUUCAUUUAAGGCAAAUAUUAAAUCUGCUUAAAGACAGUUUUACCCUCAAAUUCAGAUAACAAUUUUAAAGCAUGUUUGGCGAAACUUAAAUUAUAAUUUAAGCACGUCUAACACACUUUUAAUCCACACAUUCAUUCUAUGGACCCACAACUUAUUACUCAUUUUUUAUCCAAACAUUAUAUGGGAACCGGUGAUUAAAUUUUAAGGAAAAAAUUAAACCCCAGCCAGUCCCCUCCUUCCAGCUUGAGCAAUGGUUCUUGGUGACAGAUUGUGUAGAUUUGCUAAGUCAACCACAGCUAUUUUCAGAUCUCUGCUUAAUACAUGUUUGAAUGGAUUUUAUCAUUGGCCUAUAGAGUCCAUUAAUGACUCUUGUGAUCAUUGCCCUUGACAUGAACACCGAGGGAUGGCAAGCAAAACUAGAGCCAGAUCGGC
This 1039-nucleotide long non-coding RNA is filed under the name Olea europaea (common olive). RNAcentral's name for it is "long non-coding RNA (OEUR_LNC013712)". Lineage: Eukaryota; Viridiplantae; Streptophyta; Magnoliopsida; Lamiales; Oleaceae. The record is from RNAcentral.